CUAGAAAUAUGUCUGAUAAAAGAGUUACUUUGAUAGAGUAAACAAUAGAGGUCCCAACCCCCUUAUUUC
This 69-nucleotide transfer RNA is filed under the name Miopithecus ogouensis (Gabon talapoin). RNAcentral's name for it is "tRNA-Ile". Lineage: Eukaryota; Metazoa; Chordata; Mammalia; Primates; Cercopithecidae. The record is from RNAcentral.